Salarias fasciatus (jewelled blenny) is the source of this 383-nucleotide long non-coding RNA. RefSeq lists it as uncharacterized. The record is from RefSeq and is a predicted model, not a curated record. The transcript has 4 exons. NCBI's taxonomy places the organism in Eukaryota, Metazoa, Chordata, Actinopteri, Blenniiformes, Blenniidae.
AGUGCCCUCCUAUGCUGCUCGCUAACUUUUACAAGUUUUUUCUUAUUAUGAUUGUUAUUCUGGGAUUAAACCAUCGUUCAAACUCCAAAUACCUGUGUGAAACUCCAUCUGUGUCUCCAAGGAUCUCUGCUCCUUCCUGACUCCUGACUGAACAUGUCUGGUGUGGAUGAAGAGGAGGACAGAUCAGAGUCUGUGGACAGAUAUCAGCAGCUCCGACAGACAGCAGAGUCUUCAGGAUCCAGCAGGCUGUCUCUGAAGAGUGACUGGUCCAGAGACAUUCCACUAAGCUUCAGAGUCAAAACUGGACCUUCAGUCACAAUAAAGAGGAAGAGGAGUGAUGUCUGUGAGGAGCAGCCAGAAAGAUCCCGAAGCGUCGCUGCACC